Molecule: ribosomal RNA, 235 nt
Filed under: uncultured bacterium
Lineage: Bacteria
Description: partial 16S ribosomal RNA
Rfam family: Bacterial small subunit ribosomal RNA
Source: RNAcentral
UGGCGGACGGGUGAGUAAUGUCUGGGAAACUGCCUGAUGGAGGGGGAUAACUACUGGAAACGGUAGCUAAUACCGCAUAACGUCGCAAGACCAAAGAGGGGGACCUUCGGGCCUCUUGCCAUCGGAUGUGCCCAGAUGGGAUUAGCUAGUAGGUGGGGUAAUGGCCCACCUAGGCGACGAUCCCUAGCUGGUCUGAGAGGAUGACCAGCCACACUGGAACUGAGACACGGUCCAG